This 2998-nucleotide ribosomal RNA is filed under the name Dicerorhinus sumatrensis sumatrensis. RNAcentral describes it as "eukaryotic LSU rRNA". It matches the Rfam family "Eukaryotic large subunit ribosomal RNA", at positions 774 to 2976 of the family's 3401-position model. The record is from RNAcentral. Lineage: Eukaryota; Metazoa; Chordata; Mammalia; Perissodactyla; Rhinocerotidae.
ACCACAACGGGCAGGUGAAGCAUGAGUGCAUGUGUUAGGACCUGAAAGAUGGUGAACUAUGCCUGGGCAGGGCGAAGCCAGGGGAAACUCUGGUGGAGGUCCAUAGUGGUCCUGAUGUGGAAAUUGGUUGUCUGACCCGGGUACAGGGACAAAAGACUAAUCGAACCAUCUAGCAGCUGGUUCUCUCCAAAGUUUCCCUCAGGAUAGCUGGCGCUCUCCCACGUUUGAAUCCAUGCGGAUUUAUCAGGUAAAGCGAAUGAUUAGAGGUCUUGGGGCCGAAACGAUCUCAACCUAUUCUCAAACUUUAAAUGGGUAAGAAGCCCGGCUUGCUGGCGUGCAGCUGGGCAUGGAAUGUGAGUGCCUAGUGGGCCCUUUUGGUAAGCAGAACUGGUGCUGAAGGAUGAACCAAUCUCUGGGUUAAGGCGUCCAAUGCCAAUGCUCAUCAGACUCCAGAAAAUGUGUUGGUUGAGAUAGACAGCAGGAUGUGGGCAUGGAAAUCAGAAUCCACUAAGGAGUGUGUAAUGACUCACCUGUGGAAUCAACCAGCCCUGAAAAUGGAUGGCGCUGGAGCCUCGGGCCCAUACCUGGUUGUUACUGGCCGUUAGUGAUAUACAUGUGAGAGACAGGAGUAGAUGGGGGGUCAAUUUCCCUUCCCUCCCUCAACCCCAACCCUGCAGAUGCUAUAUCAGGAUGAGUAGAGGGCUGCUGUGGUAAGCCUUGAAGCCUGGGGUGCGGGCCCGGGUGGAGCUGCCGCAGGUGCAGAUCUUGGUGGUAGUAGCAAAUAUUCAAAUGAGAACUUUGAAGGUCAAAGUAGAGAAGGGUUCCAUGUGAACAGCAAUUGAACAUGGGUCAGUCAGUCCUGAGAGAUGGGUGAGGCCCAUUCCGAAGGGACACGCGAUGGCCUCCAUUGCCCUCAGCCAAUAGAAAGGGAGUCUGGUUUACAUCCCCGUAUACAGAGCGCAGAGAUGAGACAUCCAGUGGCAGCCCCAUGGAGAGGUGUCUUUCCUUUGUGAAGGGCAAGGUGCCCUGGAGUGGGUUGUCCCUGAGAGAGGGCCCCGUGCCUUGGAAAGCAUCGUGGUUCUGGUGGUGUCCUGUGACCUCUCACUGGCCCUCGAAAAUCCAUGGGACAGGGUGUGAAUCUUGUGCCAGGCAUAUCCACAGUAGGUCUCCAAGGUGAACACCUCUGGCAUGUUGGUUGGCAAGCUGGAUCUGUAACUUUGGGACAAGGAUAGCCUUUAAGGGCUGGGUUGGCUGGGCUGAGUCAUAAAGUAGGGCUGGGUCUGUGUUGGCAUUGGCCCCACCCCAACGCCAGGGGUACCCCCACAUGGGCCCACACCUGCUCCCUCCUCUGGCCCUCCUCCCGUGGAUUCCCACCCCCUACCCCCUUCCCUUCCCUGGGUUGGGGUGAGGGGGCAGGGCGAUGGGACAGCAGGGCUCCUGCCAAGAGGAAGGUCCCUGCAGGGCCUGCAGGCCCACUGGGCCAGGGUACCUAUGGGGGCUGGUGGUGACGGCAACUCUGCAUGCAAGCUGGACACUUCCCGAGGAUUGCCUCAGUGGUGGCAAGGGUGUGGCCACACCGCAGAGCCCAAAGGGUGCCAGUAAUCCCCACUGGGCGAGGGGGGAGGGUUGGGCGGUGGGUAACAAGGUCCCCCCCAUCUUGCCCUGCCAUCUUCCCCCUCACCGUCACUGCAGUCAGCAUGCCUGUACCCCCCACCCAGGCUGGGUCCACCCCCAGCAGCGGUUCCUGGCAGCGCCUCACCUCGCCGGCGCCUAGCAGCAGACUUAGAACUAAUGCGGACCAGGGGAACCCGACUGUUUAAUUAAAACAAAGCAUCGCGAAGGCCCGCGGCGGGUGUUGAUGAGAUGUGAUUUCUGCCCAGUGCUCUGAAUGUCAAAGUGAAGAAAUUCAAUGAAGCGCGGGUAAACGGCAGGAGAAACUAUGACUCUCUUAAGGUAGCCAAAUGCCUUGUCAUCUAAUUAGUGCUGCGCAUGAAUGGAUGAACAAGAUUCCCACUGUCCUUACCUACUAUCCAGCGAAACCACAGCCAAGGGAACGGGCUUGGCGGAAUCAGCAGGGAAAGAAGACCCUGUUGAGCUUGACUCUAGUCUGGCAGGUGAAGAGACAUGAGAAUAAGUAGAAUAAGUGGGAGGUCCCCGGCGCCACCCCCCACCCCCGUGAAAGGUCUGGAUGGGGUCCUCCGGCCUUGCGGGCUGCCAGUGAAAUACCACUACUCUGAUCGUUUAUUCACUGACCCGGUGAGGCGGGGGUGGCAGGGGGCGAGCCCCGAGGGGCUUUUGCUUCUGCUGGCCGGCUGCAACCCACUCCGGGGACAGUGCCAGGUGGGGAGUUUCACUGGGGCAGUACAUGGUAACGCAAGUGUCCUAAGGUGAGCUCAGGGAGGACAGAAACUUCCCAUGGAGCAGAAGGGCAAAAGUUCGCUUGAUCUUGAUUUUCAGUACGAAUCCAGACCGUGAAAGCGGGGCCUCACGAUCCUUCUGACCUUUUGGGUUUUAAGCAGAAGCUGUCAGAAAAGUUACCACAGGCAUAACUGGCUUGUGGUGGCCAAGCGUUCAUAGCGACGUUGCUUUUAGAUCCUUCGAUGUCAGCUCUUCCUAUCCUUGUGAAGCAGAAUUCACCAAGUGUUGGAUUAUUCGCCCACUAAUAGGGAAUGUGAGCUAGGUUUAGACCGUCAUGAGUGAUAAAUGAAAAGCAAAAGGCUAUAUUGGAGUAUAUGAGGAAGCCAUUUGGUGUAAAACUAAUUCAGCCUGAACUUGUUUUUCCAAAAGGGCCUGACGUGGCCUGUAGAGUAUGCAUUGUAUAUCUGCUUUAAACAUUUACUAUGUCCCAAAGACAAGAAUGAUGCCCUUAUAGAUAGGGAUGUAGCUUCCUCCCAUAUCAGCAUUUCUUUAAGGAUGAGCAUCUGUUCCUGGAAACUAAGGCUUAAUUACUGACCUGCUGUGUUCACUUUGGGACCACUGACCUACUGACCACUGACCU